RNAcentral lists this ribosomal RNA (463 nucleotides) under uncultured bacterium. Its description in RNAcentral is "partial 16S ribosomal RNA". It matches the Rfam family "Bacterial small subunit ribosomal RNA", at positions 28 to 507 of the family's 1533-position model. The record is from RNAcentral.
GACGAACGCUGGCGGCGUGCUUAACACAUGCAAGUCGAACGGUGAACCUCUUCGGAGGGGAUCAGUGGCGAACGGGUGAGUAACACGUGGGCAACCUGCCCCCGGCUCUGGGAUAACUCCAAGAAAUUGGGGCUAAUACCGGAUGUUCACCGCUUCCCGCAUGGGUGGUGGUGUAAAGGGUUUCCGGCUGGGGAUGGGCCCGCGGCCUAUCAGCUUGUUGGUGGGGUAGUGGCCUACCAAGGCGACGACGGGUAGCCGGCCUGAGAGGGUGACCGGCCACACUGGGACUGAGACACGGCCCAGACUCCUACGGGAGGCAGCAGUGGGGAAUAUUGCGCAAUGGGCGGAAGCCUGACGCAGCGACGCCGCGUGGGGGAUGACGGCCUUCGGGUUGUAAACCUCUUUCAGCAGGGACGAAGCGCAAGUGACGGUACCUGCAGAAGAAGCACCGGCCAACUACGUG